RNAcentral lists this ribosomal RNA (192 nucleotides) under uncultured bacterium. RNAcentral's name for it is "partial 16S ribosomal RNA". It matches the Rfam family "Bacterial small subunit ribosomal RNA", at positions 1309 to 1500 of the family's 1533-position model. The record is from RNAcentral.
CCCGAACCUACAUGAAGCUGGAAUCGCUAGUAAUCGCGAAUCAGAAUGUCGCGGUGAAUACGUUCCCGGGUCUUGUACACACCGCCCGUCACACCAUGGGAGUCGGAAAUGCCCGAAGUCAGUGACCCAACCGCAAGGAGGGAGCUGCCGAAGGUGGAGCCGGUAACUGGGGUGAAGUCGUAACAAGGUAAC